Long non-coding RNA from Sapajus apella (tufted capuchin), 411 nucleotides. RefSeq lists it as uncharacterized. The transcript has 2 exons. NCBI's taxonomy places the organism in Eukaryota, Metazoa, Chordata, Mammalia, Primates, Cebidae. The record is from RefSeq and is a predicted model, not a curated record.
GAAUGACCAGGGCGAGGUGUCAGCUUACGAUUUCUGCAUGCUUCCCCUCACUCCUAAGCUCACUCUCCACAAGCAGAGGAGGAGAGAUGGCGAUGGCAGAAAUCUUCUCACAGAUCACUCACCUGGGGGCAGCCAGCUUCUGUGUCACAAGGACCCUCAAGAAACCCAAUGGAGGAGCUCACAUGGUAAAGAACUGAGGCUUUCUGCCAACAGCCAGUGAGGAACUGAGCCCUGCUGGCAGCUGCCAAAUAAGCAGACCAUCUUGGAAGAAGACCCCUAGCCAGUCAAGCCUUCAGUAACUGCAGCCCCAGCUCAUGCAAGAAACCAGAGUCAGAAUUACUCAGCAAGGCAUUCCUAAAUUUCUGACCCAUAGAAAUUGUAAGAUAAUAAAUGCUUGGGGUUUUUCUUUAA